AAAUCCUUCAGGGCAGUCUGCUACCUUAUUGCCUAAGCAGCAACAUGAAUAAAGGACAGUUGGUGCAUCCUUAUCAGAAAUUUGUUGUAGCACUCCAGCUGCCAGGAGUGCGACAAGGCCAGCGGUAAAAGCCAGCAGCAUCAGCCGCCGCUGGCGGCAACCAAUACUUGCUGGGAGAUUAAGACAAUGGCGUUACAAUAGAUCGUAACCAGUCGACGGGACACCAAGGUCCAGGUGAACCCGAGCCGCAAGCAGAAGAAGAAGAAGAGGAAGGCGACAUACAUUGACUGUUGUCUGUUGUUAAAAU
Molecule: long non-coding RNA, 307 nt
Organism: Pararge aegeria (speckled wood butterfly)
Lineage: Eukaryota; Metazoa; Arthropoda; Insecta; Lepidoptera; Nymphalidae
Exons: 3
Source: RefSeq, a predicted model, not a curated record